CGAGUCUAAGGGGUACUUGUACCCCUGGCAUAAUGCUCAGUAACACGUGCAUUAUCUACCCUUAGGUGGGGCAUAAACCCGGGAAACUGGGCCUAAUUCCCCAUAGAUACAGAAGGCUGGAAUGCCUCUGUAUUCAAAGCUCCGGCGCCUAAGGAUGAGUCUGCGACCUAUCAGGUAGUAGUCAGGGUCACGACCUGACUAGCCAACGACGGGUACGGGGUGUGAGAGCACUUGCCCGGAGAUGGUUUCUGAGACACGAAACCAGGCCCUACGGGGCGCAGCAGGCGCGAAAACUUCGCAAUGCGGGAAACCGUGACGAGGGAGCUCCAAGUGUCUAUGCAAUGCAUAGACUGUUUUUCAGCCUAAAUAGCUGUUAGAGUAAGGGGUGGGUAAGACCGGUGCCAGCCGCCGCGGUAACACCGGCACCCCGAGUGGUAGCCACUAUUAUUGGGCCUAAAGCGUUCGUAGCCGGUUUAGUAAAUUCUUGGGUAAAUCGUACAGCUUAACUGUGCGGAUUCCGGGGACACUACUAGACUUGAGACCGGGAGAGAUUAGAGGUACUUGCAGGGGAGCGGUGAAAUGUUGUAAUCCUGCAGGGACCACCAGUGGCGAAGGCGUCUAAUCAUAACGGCUCUGACGGUGAGGAACGAAACCCUGGGGCGCAAACGGGAUUAGAUACCCCGGUAGUCCAGGGCGUAAACGCUGCUGACUUGGUGUUGGAGAUCCUACG
RNAcentral lists this ribosomal RNA (730 nucleotides) under uncultured archaeon. RNAcentral describes it as "bacterial SSU rRNA". It matches the Rfam family "Archaeal small subunit ribosomal RNA", at positions 54 to 787 of the family's 1478-position model. The record is from RNAcentral.